This 874-nucleotide long non-coding RNA is filed under the name Fragaria vesca (wild strawberry). Its description in RNAcentral is "long non-coding RNA (FVES_LNC004771)". The record is from RNAcentral. Lineage: Eukaryota; Viridiplantae; Streptophyta; Magnoliopsida; Rosales; Rosaceae.
GUAGAUGAUCAUUUUAGAGCGCAUGACAGUUUCAAGUAGGAGGAAAACUAAAGGAAUUUGCAGUUUUAAAUUUUGUUUAUUAAGUUAAUCAAAAAGUCAAUGUCACUAAUAUUAUCAAAACAAAAGUGCUAUCAGAGAAAUUUUUCAGCUUUACGGGAGGACCACGUGACAGUAUGACAUGGUCCUACAUUCUAAUCAAAUAUUGAUACUUAUAGUUUACUAAAGGAAAAUUGCAUCAUCUAUUUUGUCAAAGACAAUUUUUGGUUUGUUGUUGCUUUUUAAAACCUAAACUAUAAACUCUAACCCUUAAACCCUAAACCCUAGUCCAAACUCAACAAAGACCCAUGAAGGUCUUUUCAUAAAAAAUAGAAAACCUUAGUUUAUAUUUUAGUUGUAAUAAAUCCAUGUGUCAAUAUUUGAUUGGAAUGUAGGACCACAUCAUAUUGCCACGUGGUCCGCUUGUAGCAUAUAAAAAUUUCUCGUAAUGGCCAUUGCCAUGUCAUUUUGUAUUCAUUUUUGGUAAAAUUAUUUGGUGUAUGUAGCACUAUACUCAUCUAUAAUAGGUUUUGGUUUUGUAAAAUUUAAUUUCUAACCCACUAUUCAAGUUGAGCUAAAAUAAGAUGAGAAAUUUUAUUAACACAUCCUUAAUUACUAGAUACACAUACCAUACUUAAUACACAAUCUAUUAACUUUAUUGUUUUAACAUUUUACUAAAUACACAUACCCAAAUUUUCUAUAAUACCCUCAUUUAAAAUACAAAACAUAUUCACUAAACACACAACUCAUUCUACUACUCAAUUUAUUAAAAGAAAUGAUUAAUUUUAGUUUACCCCCUGAGGUUUGGGGUUGACAUCGUUCACCCCCCAUACUUUUA